This 198-nucleotide ribosomal RNA is filed under the name uncultured bacterium. RNAcentral's name for it is "partial 16S ribosomal RNA". It matches the Rfam family "Bacterial small subunit ribosomal RNA", at positions 328 to 539 of the family's 1533-position model. The record is from RNAcentral.
ACGCUCGACACCUACGGGAGACAGCAGUGGGGGAUAUUGCACAAUGGGGGAAACCCUGAUGCAGCAACGCCGCGUGAAGGAAGAAGGUCUUCGGAUUGUAAACUUCUGUCCUCAGGGAAGAUAAUGACGGUACCUGAGGAGGAAGCUCCGGCUAACUACGUGCCAACAGCCGCGGUAAUCUGAGCGGGCUGGCAAGGC